ACCUUCACAAGUGCAGUCUCAGUGCUAUGAUGGGGUCUAAAACCAGACUGAAGCGUUUCGUAAUAUGUAAUAUGUAAUAUGUACUGUAACGUCAACAGUUGGGCCUUGAGAUACUAGAAUUGGAAAAUUAUUAUUUGAGAGGUCAUGGAAAGUUAAACUUUUAUAUAAUUUCCUAUGACAAACACAUGAUUAAAAAAAUAUUUAAAAAAUAAACACAAAACCAAAAGUCCAACUGAAUUAGCAUUUUAUUGAAAGUAAUUAAAGACACAUGAAAUUCCAAAAUUAGUAAACAUUGUAAGCGUUUUUAUAUUUAUUUUAAAAUCCAGACCAUAAUUUAUUUAAUUUCAUCUACAGUUAAACCAUAUACUGUAUGCAGUGAACCAUCCAUAUCAUUCACUGGCACUUUCUUUGAUUUCAGUAUUGACCAAUGUGUGUAAUAAGAAAAAUGGAAAAAAUAAAAUAAAAACACAUUCAUACUAGGGCUAAUAACAAAACACAUGUCUAUUUUUAAUAUUUAUCCCAUGUGUUCAUUCAUGUAAAGUAUUUUUUUUUUAUUAUUGCAGUCUGGUGCAGUAAUAACUGGUGACCUAUGACCAUGAAUUCCCAGUGGAUCUCAUUGUAUAUUUCAGAGUCAUGCUGAUUGUUAGUAAGACAGACAUCAAGUGUUCCGUGGUACAUUUUUAAACACUGUAAUAGCAAGGUAUUGUCAUAUUAUUAUUAUUAUUAUUAUUAUUAAUAAUAAAUAUUAGCAAAACAAGUUGACCUAUAGAAAGUGGUACAAAGAAACAGUACAAUUGGUUCAGAAUGAAUACUGCAUUGGUUGGCACAUGCAUUGCAUAGAGUCCCUUAUAGUCAUUAGUCAUACAGAGGUCUGAUAGAGAGCCAGGUACUGCAUAGAGUCAGGUACUGCAUUAGAGCCAGGUACUGCAUAGAGCCAGGUACUGCAUAGAGCCAGGUACUGCAUAGAGCCAGGUACUGCAUAGAGCCAGGUACUGCAUAGAGUCAGGUACUGCAUUAGAGCCAGGUACUGCAUAGAGCCAGGUACUGCAUAGAGCCAGGUACUGCAUAGAGCCAGGUACUGCAUAGAGUCAGGUACUGCAUAGAGUCAGGUACUGCAUAGAGUCAGGUACUGCAUAGAGCCAGGUACUGCAUAGAGUCAGGUACUGCAUAGAGCCAGGUACUGCAUAGAGCCAGGUACUGCAUAGAGCCAGGUACUGCAUAGAGUCAGGUACUGCAUAGAGUCAGGUACUGCAUAGAGCCAGGUACUGCAUAGAGCCAGGUACUGCAUAGAGCCAGGUACUGCAUAGAGCCAGGUACUGCAUAGAGCCAGGUACUGCAUAGAGUCAGGUACUGCAUAGAGCCAGGUACUGCAUAGAGUCAGGUACUGCAUAGAGCCAGGUACUGCAUAGAGCCAGGUACUGCAUAGAGCCAGGUACUGCAUAGAGCCAGGUACUGCAUAGAGUCAGGUACUGCAUAGAGUCAGGUACUGCAUAGAGUCAGGUACUGCAUAGAGCCAGGUACUGCAUAGAGCCAGGUACUGCAUAGAGCCAGGUACUGCAUAGAGCCAGGUACUGCAUAGAGCCAGGUACUGCAUAGAGCCAGGUACUGCAUAGAGCCAGGUAC
Molecule: non-coding RNA, 1623 nt
Organism: Salmo salar (Atlantic salmon)
Lineage: Eukaryota; Metazoa; Chordata; Actinopteri; Salmoniformes; Salmonidae
Source: RefSeq, a predicted model, not a curated record